This 616-nucleotide ribosomal RNA is filed under the name Mrakia blollopis. RNAcentral describes it as "eukaryotic LSU rRNA". It matches the Rfam family "Eukaryotic large subunit ribosomal RNA", at positions 51 to 650 of the family's 3401-position model. The record is from RNAcentral. Lineage: Eukaryota; Fungi; Basidiomycota; Tremellomycetes; Cystofilobasidiales; Mrakiaceae.
CGGAGGAAAAGAAACUAACAAGGAUUCCCCUAGUAACGGCGAGUGAAGCGGGAUGAGCUCAAAUUUAAAAUCUGGCGGCCUCAGGUCGUCCGAGUUGUAGUCUAGAGAAUCGUUUUCCGCGUUGGCCUGUGUACAAGUCCCUUGGAACAGGGCGUCAUAGAGGGUGAGAAUCCCGUCCUUGACACAGAUUACCAAUGCUUUGUGAUGCGAUCUCGAAGAGUCGAGUUGUUUGGGAAUGCAGCUCAAAAUGGGUGGUAAAUUCCAUCUAAAGCUAAAUAUUGGCGAGAGACCGAUAGCGAACAAGUACCGUGAGGGAAAGAUGAAAAGCACUUUGGAAAGAGAGUUAAACAGUACGUGAAAUUGUUAAAAGGGAAACGAUUGAAGUCAGUCAUGCUUUCCGAGACUCAGCCGAUUCUGUCGGUGUACUUCUCGGUUGGCAGGCCAGCAUCAGUUUCGAUCUGUGGAAAAGGUUGGAGGGAACGUGGCAUCUCCGGAUGUGUUAUAGCCCUUCUUCGAAUACAUAGAGCGGGACUGAGGAACGCAGCGCGCCUUUUAUUAGGUUGGCCCUCGGGUACAUACGCGCUUAGGAUGCUGGCAUAAUGGCUUUAAACGACCC